AGCCGGUGCGCUGACCCGCAAGGGAGGCAGCCGUCCAAGGUAUAACUCAUGAUUGGGGUGAAGUCGUAACAAGGUAGCCGUAGGAGAACCUGCGGCUGGAUCACCUCCUUU
This 111-nucleotide ribosomal RNA is filed under the name Rouxiella aceris. Its description in RNAcentral is "partial 16S ribosomal RNA". It matches the Rfam family "Bacterial small subunit ribosomal RNA", at positions 1425 to 1533 of the family's 1533-position model. The record is from RNAcentral. Lineage: Bacteria; Pseudomonadati; Pseudomonadota; Gammaproteobacteria; Enterobacterales; Yersiniaceae.